AUUGAACGCUGGCGGCAUGCUUUACACAUGCAAGUCGAGCGGUAACAGGCCUUCGGGUGCUGACGAGUGGCGAACGGGUGAGUAAUGCAUCGGAACGUACCCAGAGGUGGGGGAUAACGCAGCGAAAGCUGUGCUAAUACCGCAUGUGAUCUGAGGAUGAAAGCGGGGGACCGAGCAGCAAUGUUUGGCCUCGCGCCUUUGGAGCGGCCGAUGUCGGAUUAGCUAGUUGGUGGGGUAAAGGCCUACCAAGGCGACGAUCCGUAGCUGGUCUGAGAGGACGACCAGCCACACUGGGACUGAGACACGGCCCAGACUCCUACGGGAGGCAGCAGUGGGGAAUUUUGGGCAAUGGGCGCAAGCCUGAUCCAGCAAUGCCGCGUGCGGGAAGAAGGCCUUCGGGUUGUAAACCGCUUUUGGCAGGAACGAAACGGUGUCCGCUAAUACCGGGCGCUAAUGACGGUACCUGCAGAAUAAGCACCGGCUAACUACGUG
Molecule: ribosomal RNA, 492 nt
Filed under: uncultured bacterium
Lineage: Bacteria
Description: partial 16S ribosomal RNA
Rfam family: Bacterial small subunit ribosomal RNA
Source: RNAcentral